This is a long non-coding RNA of Mus musculus (house mouse), 454 nucleotides long. RefSeq annotates it as predicted gene, 41666. The record is from RefSeq and is a predicted model, not a curated record. The transcript is spliced from 2 exons. NCBI's taxonomy places the organism in Eukaryota, Metazoa, Chordata, Mammalia, Rodentia, Muridae.
UCUGUAGACCAGGAAGGCCUCGAACUCACAGAGAUCCACUUGGAUCUGCCUCCCGUGCAUGCUGGGAUAAAAGGCCUGUGCUCCCUCCUGCCCCCAAGUUCCAGUCGUUUCUUGUUCCCAUUGCUUGGUUGACAGGAGUGUUGGCUGAAGCUUAAGGGACACAGAGUUGCACGUCUCUUCCUAGAAUACAAAACCCUCCUCCAUUUCCUCUGCUACCAGCCAUGGAAUCAGAGACAGCCUGACUACAUAAAACCUCUCCCUGCCUAUGGGACCUCUAAGAAGAGACUCUCCAUUCUGCCCUUUGGACCUGGAUACUCCUCAGAGUCCCUACCAUACUGUUUGCCUGACUAUGGGUCUGAGGCCCAAAUUCUCCUCAAACCCCCUGAUAUGUGUCUGUAAGCCUAUAUGCCCAUGCCAUCAGUAACUCUUCUAAUAAAUCUCUUACCCAAGUGGA